RNAcentral lists this ribosomal RNA (89 nucleotides) under Gemella haemolysans. The record is from RNAcentral. Lineage: Bacteria; Bacillati; Bacillota; Bacilli; Caryophanales; Gemellaceae.
ACCUGUACCCAUACCGAACACAGAAGUUAAGCUCUUUAGCGUCGAAUGUAGUUGGGCUUACGCCCUGUGAGACUAGAACGUUGCCAGGC